This 485-nucleotide ribosomal RNA is filed under the name uncultured bacterium. Its description in RNAcentral is "partial 16S ribosomal RNA". It matches the Rfam family "Bacterial small subunit ribosomal RNA", at positions 28 to 507 of the family's 1533-position model. The record is from RNAcentral.
GAUGAACGCUGGCGGCGUGCUUAACACAUGCAAGUCGAACGGGAUCCAAGGGGUGCUUGCACUUUUUGGUGAGAGUGGCGAACGGGUGGGUAACACGUGAGUAACCUGUCCUUUUCUUUGGGAUAAGCAUUCGAAAGGGUGUUUAAUACCUUAUGUUCUGUCUGCCUCGCAUGGGGUGGGUGGGAAAGGCUUUGGCCGGAUUUGGGUGGGCUCGCGGUCUAUCAGCUUGUUGGUGGGGUGAUGGCUUACCAAGGCUUUGACGGGUAGCCGGCCUGAGAGGGUGGUCGGUCACAUUGGGACUGAGAUACGGCCCAGACUCCUGCGGGAGGCAGCAGUGGGGGAUAUUGCACAAUGGGCGAAAGCCUGAUGCAGCGACGCCGCGUGGGGGAUGAAGGCCUUCGGGUUGUAAACUUCUUUUGCUCUGAACAAGGCAUGCCAGUGGGUGUGUUGAGUGUAGGGGUUGAUUAGCGCCGGCUAACUACGUG